RNAcentral lists this ribosomal RNA (114 nucleotides) under Paragonimus westermani. RNAcentral describes it as "partial 5.8S ribosomal RNA". It matches the Rfam family "5.8S ribosomal RNA", at positions 9 to 120 of the family's 154-position model. From Rfam's summary of the family: 5.8S ribosomal RNA (5.8S rRNA) is a component of the large subunit of the eukaryotic ribosome. It is transcribed by RNA polymerase I as part of the 45S precursor that also contains 18S and 28S rRNA. Lineage: Eukaryota; Metazoa; Platyhelminthes; Trematoda; Plagiorchiida; Troglotrematidae. The record is from RNAcentral.
CUGCGGUGGAUCACUCCGAUCGUGUGUUCGAUGAAGAUCGCAACCAACUGUGUGGAUUGAUGCGAACUGCAUACUGCUUUGAACAUCGACAUCUUGAACGCACAUUGAAUCGGA